This 4007-nucleotide long non-coding RNA is filed under the name Homo sapiens (human). RNAcentral's name for it is "HSALNT0121982". The record is from RNAcentral. Lineage: Eukaryota; Metazoa; Chordata; Mammalia; Primates; Hominidae.
CAAUCCUCCUGCCUCAGCCUUCCAAAGUGCUGUGAUUACAGCCGUGAGCCACCAUGCCUAGCUGGUUUAAUGCAAUUCUUACCCAAAUCUCAGCAAGAUUUUUUUGUAGACAUAGACAAGCUUAUUUUAAAAUUUAUAUGGAAAGGGAAAGACACUAGAAUAGCCAAAACGUAUGAAAAAGAAGAAAAUUCAUGAUGUCAGGGCUUACCAUAUAGCGACGGUAAUAAAGACAGUGUGGUAUUGGUAGAGGAGCAGACACAUAGAUUAAUGAAAUAGAACAGAGAUCCCAGAAAUAGACCUACACAAACAUUUGAUUAAUAAUUAAAUAAAUAAUAAAAUAAUAUUUGAUGAAGGAGCAAAAGUGGUUUAGAGGAGAAAUGACAGCCUUUUCAACAAAUGCUCCUGGAACAACUGGACAUUCAUAAGCCAAAUAAAUAAAUAAAUAAAUAAACCUCACACCUUAUACAAAAAAUUAACUCAAAAUGGAUCAUAGACUUAAUGUAAAACAUAAGCUAUAAAACUUCUAGAAAAAUAGGAGGAAAACUGUGAGAUCUAGGACUAAUCAAAGGUAUUUUUAGACUUGACACCAAAGCUUGAUGAAUAAAAAGAAAAUUUGAUAUACUGGACCUCACCAACAUUAAAAGCUAUUGCUCUGAAAAGACUAUGUUAAAAGGAUGAACAAACUAAUUAUAGACCAGGAGAAAAUAUUUGUAAAUCACAUAUCCAGCAAAGGACUUUUAUCUAAAAUAUAUAAAGAAUGCUCAAAACUUGAUAUUUAAUGGCCAAAAGACUUGACACAACAUUUCAUCAAGGAAAAUAUACAUAUGGCAAAAAGCACAUGACAAGAUGCUCAGCAUCGUUAGCCAUUGGUAAAAUGCAAAUUAAAUCACACAAUAAGAUAUCACCGCACACCUGUUAGAACAGUCAAAAUAAAAAAUACUGACAGUACCUAUAAUAGUUUCAUAGUGUUACUGUAGUAAAUCACCACAAAUUUCGUGGCUUAAAACACCACAGAUGUAUUAUCUUACAGUUCUGGAGGUCAGAAGUCCAAAAUGAGUUUAAUGAGGCUUGUGGCUAUCAUCCUUCAAAGCCAGCAAUGGCUGCUUGGUUGAGUCUUUUUCACUUCACAUCACUCUUUUGCCUCCUUCUUCCACAUUUAAAGGAUUAUUGUGAUUAUAUUGGGUCUACCUAGAUAAUCCAGAAUAAUAUUUUCUUAAGGUCAACUAAUUAGCACUCUUAAUUCCAUCUGCAACCAAAAUUCUCCCUUGCAUAACUUAUUUCAUAGGUCUGGAGGAUUAGGAUGUGGACUUUUGUGGGAGCCAUUUUUCUGCCUAUCACAAUACCAAAUGUGAGCAAGGAUGCAGAGAAACUGGAGCUCACAUAUUGCUGGUUGGAAUGUAAAAUGGCAGAGGCACUCUGAAAAAGUUUGACAAUUUUCUAUAAAGUUAAACAUAUACUUAAACAUAUGACCCAGUAAUUGCACUCCUGGGUAUUUAUCCUAAAGAAAUGAAAUUUUAUGUUCAAUUUUAAAACUCUAUAUAUGAAUAUUCACAGCAGUUUUAUUUGUAAUAGACAAAAAUUGGAAACUACUCAAAUGUCCUUCAAUGGGUAGGCCAUUAAACAAAUUGUGGUUCAUCCAUGUACUAUGGCAUAUUAUUCAAAAAUUAAAAGAAACUAUGAUAUACACAGCAUCUUGAAUGGACCUCAAGGAAAUUAUGGUGAAUGAAAAAGCCAAUCUCAAAAAGAUAAACAUUGCAUAAUUCCAUUUAUAUAACAUUCAUGAAACAAUGUAAUUAUAGCCAAGGAGAUCAGAUUAGUGGUUUCCAGGGGUUGGGCAUGAGGGGCCGUGCCUAUAAAGAGGCAGCACGAGGGAACCUUUUGGCUACCAAAUAGUUCUGUAUCUUGAUUGUGGUAGCAGUUUUAUAAAAUUACAUGUGAUGAAAUUGCAUACAGCUAUAAGCACACAUGCGCACACACAAGUGCAUGUAGAAUUGGUGGAAUCAGAAUAAGCUCUGUAAAUGGUACUGAUGUCAAUCUUCUGGUUUUGAUGCUGUGCUGUGGCUUCAUAAAAUGUUUCCAUUGGGGUAGUCUGAGUGAAGGGUGCAUGAAGUAUUUCUUCACAACUUCCGGUGACUCUAUAAUUGUUUCAAAAUAAGUGGUGACGAUUGCUUCUCGGCCUUUUGGCUAAGAUCAAGUGCAAAAUACAUGGUGACAUCAGCAGGAUGGCCAACUGGAAGUUCCUAGCACUUGUCCCCUUCACAAAGAAAGCCAGAAUAGCAACAUUUUAAUGAAACAAAACAAUCAAACAAACAAAAAACAGGGAGAGCACUGGAGUGCAUCAGAGAAGUAACAGAAACCCUGGUGAGCACAGAAACUUGGAAUAGUCAAAUAAAGAAAGGAAGAAAUGCUGGGCCUUACCCCAUCCCCAAACCAGGAUCAUCUGGGAACCAGGAGGAACUUCUUCCUACAGCAAGAAGGUAAGCAAGAGGAUCCCAGCAACCCCCACCAACACCUCGAACACAUACAGACCUCAUCAGUAGGGUGCCCUGCAGUCUUUACAAGGACUAAGCCCAGCUGAGGGAGCUGCCUCCAGUCCACAUACCUAUGCUCCCUCCAGAGGAGACGCUGACACUGUGCCUCGCCCCCUGUGGCCUGUGUAGCUACUGUGCUACACCAUCUUGGAAUUGCAACUACAGCUAGAGUGUCUUACUCGGCGGGUGAGUAGCCACAACUCCUCUUCAUCCCUGAAGCUAAGUCAUCACUGAACUACCCCAGUCUAGUAGCCCAACAUCCACAAGCUGAGCUGCAAACAGCUGUUAUACUCUUUCCCAUGGGAUCAAGGGUGGAGCUACUCUACCUACCCCUCCCUACCCCAGGCCAGAGCUGAAGCACUACCCUCUCUCCUGGAAAAACAGUAUCUUGGCCAUUCAGAGCAAUCACACCUUCCUGGUGCCUAAGUUGAAGCAGCACCCUGCAUCCCAGGAAAUGGUGCCUGGUCCUCCCAGAAUAGUCAUAUCCCCCAGGCCUGAGCUGAACUAGCAUACCAUCCCCUGGGCAAUCAGUGCCCUGGCUAAGCUGAGCAGUUGUACAUCCCAGGGCUGAGCUUAUGUAGUACCCCGGGUCCCAGAGAAACAGAGCAGUGGCUGAACUGAGACACUCGCACCCCCCACAGGCCAUAAUACUCAAGUACUUCCCUGGAGCUGGACUAGCCCCCUAGAGUUUGAGCUGCUGAGACACCCCUCUCCCUGGGGAGUGGAGUCACUGCUGUUUUGUUUCCUGUCCCCCACCACCCCAAGGCCCAAAUGACAGCUGUGCUCUGGCAUUCUGGGGUCACAGAAUCUAGGAUACUGCUAAGCCCCACCAUCCCAGGGUCUAGAGUCACCACUACACGAUGCCUCAUCCUUUGGGACCUGAGUUGCCAAUGAGCUCUAUUGGCCCAGGUUCCUGAAUUGCAGCCAUAUUCUGCUCCUCAGGCUCAAAUCUGCAAAGCAGCCCUUCUUCCCAGGAGUCAGGCCAGUGCUAUGCUUUGUCCCCAGGGGUAGAAUCACAGCUAUAAACCAGCCCCUGGGCCCAAGCAGCUAGGGGUUGCCACAGAGUCACAGAUAUUGGCUCUGUGGGCAACCUACACCAAACCCUGCCACAUACCACAAGGCACAGGUGCUGCAGUAGGUUCACAGAUGCUGAGCCUAGGAUCCCAGCCCCAUGGCCACUCUGAGCACCUGCAGUUGGAAUCAGCACCACUGUAGCUGCUUGUAGGCUGUGUCAGACCUGAUGGCAAAGGAGAACCCCUCAGACAGGUCCCCCCACUGUGGGGAAAAAAUGAGAAUAGGAGGACCUCAAAAGCCCUUGACACUGAGGACAUUAACAUCCUACACUGCUGCCACAAACUUCUACAGCCUAGGUCACUGAAGUGUCCAUAGUUACUGCUGGCAUUGAAUGAAGCUGAAGAAGACUUCAUUCAACAAAGAAAACUAUAUCACUGCAUCUAUCUGGAAGCAGAGUCACCA